This 2924-nucleotide ribosomal RNA is filed under the name Klebsiella quasipneumoniae. RNAcentral's name for it is "23S ribosomal RNA". It matches the Rfam family "Bacterial large subunit ribosomal RNA". Lineage: Bacteria; Pseudomonadati; Pseudomonadota; Gammaproteobacteria; Enterobacterales; Enterobacteriaceae. The record is from RNAcentral.
GGGUUGUGAGGUUAAGCGACUAAGCGUACACGGUGGAUGCCCUGGCAGUCAGAGGCGAUGAAGGACGUGCUAAUCUGCGAAAAGCGUCGGUAAGGUGAUAUGAACCGUUAUAACCGGCGAUGUCCGAAUGGGGAAACCCAGUGCAAUUCGUUGCACUAUCGUUAACUGAAUACAUAGGUUAACGAGGCGAACCGGGGGAACUGAAACAUCUAAGUACCCCGAGGAAAAGAAAUCAACCGAGAUUCCCCCAGUAGCGGCGAGCGAACGGGGAGCAGCCCAGAGUCUGAAUCAGCUUGUGUGUUAGUGGAACGGUCUGGAAAGUCCGACGGUACAGGGUGAUAGUCCCGUACACCAAAAUGCACAGGUUGUGAACUCGAAGAGUAGGGCGGGACACGUGGUAUCCUGUCUGAAUAUGGGGGGACCAUCCUCCAAGGCUAAAUACUCCUGACUGACCGAUAGUGAACCAGUACCGUGAGGGAAAGGCGAAAAGAACCCCGGCGAGGGGAGUGAAAAAGAACCUGAAACCGUGUACGUACAAGCAGUGGGAGCACCUUUAUGGUGUGACUGCGUACCUUUUGUAUAAUGGGUCAGCGACUUAUAUUCUGUAGCAAGGUUAACCGUAUAGGGGAGCCGCAGGGAAACCGAGUCUUAACUGGGCGUUAAGUUGCAGGGUAUAGACCCGAAACCCGGUGAUCUAGCCAUGGGCAGGUUGAAGGUUGGGUAACACUAACUGGAGGACCGAACCGACUAAUGUUGAAAAAUUAGCGGAUGACUUGUGGCUGGGGGUGAAAGGCCAAUCAAACCGGGAGAUAGCUGGUUCUCCCCGAAAGCUAUUUAGGUAGCGCCUCGUGAACUCAUCUUCGGGGGUAGAGCACUGUUUCGGCUAGGGGGUCAUCCCGACUUACCAACCCGAUGCAAACUACGAAUACCGAAGAAUGUUAUCACGGGAGACACACGGCGGGUGCUAACGUCCGUCGUGAAGAGGGAAACAACCCAGACCGCCAGCUAAGGUCCCAAAGUCAUGGUUAAGUGGGAAACGAUGUGGGAAGGCACAGACAGCCAGGAUGUUGGCUUAGAAGCAGCCAUCAUUUAAAGAAAGCGUAAUAGCUCACUGGUCGAGUCGGCCUGCGCGGAAGAUGUAACGGGGCUAAACCAUGCACCGAAGCUGCGGCAGCGACACUAUGUGUUGUUGGGUAGGGGAGCGUUCUGUAAGCCUGCGAAGGUGACCUGUGAGGGUUGCUGGAGGUAUCAGAAGUGCGAAUGCUGACAUAAGUAACGAUAAAGCGGGUGAAAAGCCCGCUCGCCGGAAGACCAAGGGUUCCUGUCCAACGUUAAUCGGGGCAGGGUGAGUCGACCCCUAAGGCGAGGCCGAAAGGCGUAGUCGAUGGGAAACAGGUUAAUAUUCCUGUACUUGGUGUUACUGCGAAGGGGGGACGGAGAAGGCUAUGUUAGCCGGGCGACGGUUGUCCCGGUUUAAGCAUGUAGGCUGGUUAUCCAGGCAAAUCCGGAUAAUCAAGGCUGAGGUGUGAUGACGAGGCACUACGGUGCUGAAGUAACAAAUGCCCUGCUUCCAGGAAAAGCCUCUAAGCAUCAGGUAACAUCAAAUCGUACCCCAAACCGACACAGGUGGUCAGGUAGAGAAUACCAAGGCGCUUGAGAGAACUCGGGUGAAGGAACUAGGCAAAAUGGUGCCGUAACUUCGGGAGAAGGCACGCUGGUGUGUAGGUGAAGCCCCUGCGGGUGGAGCUGAGACCAGUCGAAGAUACCAGCUGGCUGCAACUGUUUAUUAAAAACACAGCACUGUGCAAACACGAAAGUGGACGUAUACGGUGUGACGCCUGCCCGGUGCCGGAAGGUUAAUUGAUGGGGUUAUCCGUAAGGAGAAGCUCUUGAUCGAAGCCCCGGUAAACGGCGGCCGUAACUAUAACGGUCCUAAGGUAGCGAAAUUCCUUGUCGGGUAAGUUCCGACCUGCACGAAUGGCGUAAUGAUGGCCAGGCUGUCUCCACCCGAGACUCAGUGAAAUUGAACUCGCUGUGAAGAUGCAGUGUACCCGCGGCAAGACGGAAAGACCCCGUGAACCUUUACUAUAGCUUGACACUGAACAUUGAGCCUUGAUGUGUAGGAUAGGUGGGAGGCUUUGAAGCGUGGACGCCAGUCUGCGUGGAGCCAACCUUGAAAUACCACCCUUUAAUGUUUGAUGUUCUAACGUUGGCCCCUUACCGGGGUUGCGGACAGUGUCUGGUGGGUAGUUUGACUGGGGCGGUCUCCUCCCAAAGCGUAACGGAGGAGCACGAAGGUUAGCUAAUCCUGGUCGGACAUCAGGAGGUUAGUGCAAUGGCAUAAGCUAGCUUGACUGCGAGCGUGACGGCGCGAGCAGGUGCGAAAGCAGGUCAUAGUGAUCCGGUGGUUCUGAAUGGAAGGGCCAUCGCUCAACGGAUAAAAGGUACUCCGGGGAUAACAGGCUGAUACCGCCCAAGAGUUCAUAUCGACGGCGGUGUUUGGCACCUCGAUGUCGGCUCAUCACAUCCUGGGGCUGAAGUAGGUCCCAAGGGUAUGGCUGUUCGCCAUUUAAAGUGGUACGCGAGCUGGGUUUAGAACGUCGUGAGACAGUUCGGUCCCUAUCUGCCGUGGGCGCUGGAGAAUUGAGGGGGGCUGCUCCUAGUACGAGAGGACCGGAGUGGACGCAUCACUGGUGUUCGGGUUGUCAUGCCAAUGGCACUGCCCGGUAGCUAAAUGCGGAAGAGAUAAGUGCUGAAAGCAUCUAAGCACGAAACUUGCCCCGAGAUGAGUUCUCCCUGAGACUUUAAGUCUCCUGAAGGAACGUUAAAGACGAUGACGUUGAUAGGCCGGGUGUGUAAGCGCAGCGAUGCGUUGAGCUAACCGGUACUAAUGAACCGUGAGGCUUAACCUUACAACGCCGAAG